This 375-nucleotide ribosomal RNA is filed under the name uncultured organism. Its description in RNAcentral is "partial 16S ribosomal RNA". It matches the Rfam family "Bacterial small subunit ribosomal RNA", at positions 527 to 896 of the family's 1533-position model. The record is from RNAcentral.
GUAGGUGGCAAGCGUUGUCCGGGAAUUAUUGGGGCGUAAAGCGCGCGCAGGCGGUUCUUUAAGUCUGAUGUGAAAGCCCACGGGCUCAACCGUGGAGGGUCAUUGGAAACUGGAGAACUUGAGUACAGAAGAGGAAAGCGGAAUUCCACGUGUAGCGGUGAAAUGCGUAGAGAUGUGGAGGAACACCAGUGGCGAAGGCGGCUUUCUGGUCUGUAACUGACGCUGAGGCGCGAAAGCGUGGGGAGCAAACAGGAUUAGAUACCCUGGUAGUCCACGCCGUAAACGAUGAGUGCUAAGUGUUAGGGGGUUUCCGCCCCUUAGUGCUGCAGCUAACGCAUUAAGCACUCCGCAUGGGGAGUACGGCCGCAAAGGCUG